RNAcentral lists this ribosomal RNA (701 nucleotides) under Isospora serini. Its description in RNAcentral is "partial large subunit ribosomal RNA". It matches the Rfam family "Eukaryotic large subunit ribosomal RNA", at positions 284 to 916 of the family's 3401-position model. Lineage: Eukaryota; Apicomplexa; Conoidasida; Eucoccidiorida; Eimeriidae. The record is from RNAcentral.
AGCGCAAAAUGUGUGAUAAGUUUCACAUAAAGCUAAAUACUGGCGCGAGACCGAUAGCGAACAAGUACUGUGAAGGAAAGAUGAAAAGGACUUUGGAAAGAGAGUUAAAAGUGCCUGAAAUUGCUGGAAGGGAAGCGAUUGAAACUUUUGUGUCCCCUGGGUGCCCCUGGGUGUUUGUCGUCUGCACUUGUCGUUUCUGUUAUAAGAGCGGGUUGUGUUUGUAUGGCUUUCUCCCAGUCGAUCCCUUGGGUUUGGUCAGCAUCAGCAGAUCGGUGACUAUCCUCCCUAAGGAAGGUAGGCCUCUUGCGGGCUGUUAUAGCCUUAGGUUACUGUUCACCGUUCUGCUGAGGUGUGUUCUUGCGCGUUCGCUGGCCCCACUUUCGAGUACCAGCGUUCCGCGAUGCUGUCCCUAACGGUUUCAACCGACCCGUCUUGAAACACGGACCAAGGAGUCUAAUAUAUGUGCGAGUAUGCGGGCUGUACCCCUGUAUGCGCAAUGAAAGUGAGAGUAGGGAGAGUUGUGCUUCUUUGGCAUUUCUCGCACCUACGACCGACCACGAUCUCUGUGAGAGGUUUGAGUUGUAGCACAUCUGUUAGGACCCGAAAGAUGGUGAACUAUGCCUGAGUAGGGUGAAGUCAGGCGAAAGCCUGAUGGAGGCUCGUAGCGAUACUGACGUGCAAAUCGUUCGUCAAACUUGGGU